UACGUAGGUGGCGAGCGUUGUCCGGAUUUACUGGGCGUAAAGCGCGCGCAGGCGGUUCUGUAAGUCCUGGGUGAAAUCGCCCGGCUCAACUGGGCGGGGGCCUGGGGGACUGCGGGACUGGAGGGGCCUAGAGGCCGGUGGAACUCCCGGUGUAGUGGUGAAAUGCGUAGAUAUCGGGAGGAACACCAGUGGCGAAGGCGGCUUUCUGGUCUGCUCUUGACGCUGAGGCGCGAAAGCUAGGGGAGCAAACGGG
Molecule: ribosomal RNA, 253 nt
Filed under: uncultured bacterium
Lineage: Bacteria
Description: partial 16S ribosomal RNA
Rfam family: Bacterial small subunit ribosomal RNA
Source: RNAcentral